AUCUCUUCGGAGUGAAGAAUCUCUGGAUUAGUGGCGGACGGGUGAGUAACGCGUGAGCAAUCUGCCUUACACAAAGGGAUAGCCUCGGGAAACCGGGAUUAGUACCAUAUGAUAUCUACAAGCCGCAUGGCCUAUAGAUUAAAGAAUUUCGGUGUAAGAUGAGCUCGCGUCCCAUUAAUUAGUUGGUGAGGGUAACGGCCCACCAAGAUAGCGAUGGGUAGCCGAUCUAAGAGGAUGACCGGCCACAUUGGAACUGAGAAACGGUCCAAACUCC
Molecule: ribosomal RNA, 274 nt
Filed under: uncultured Eubacteriales bacterium
Lineage: Bacteria; Bacillati; Bacillota; Clostridia; Eubacteriales
Description: uncultured Clostridiales bacterium partial 16S ribosomal RNA
Rfam family: Bacterial small subunit ribosomal RNA
Source: RNAcentral